Molecule: non-coding RNA, 659 nt
Organism: Parasteatoda tepidariorum (common house spider)
Lineage: Eukaryota; Metazoa; Arthropoda; Arachnida; Araneae; Theridiidae
Source: RefSeq, a predicted model, not a curated record
AGUUUAAGUAAUAUUUGUGUUACCUUCCUCUGUUCAGGUGCCAAGACUUGUGAUUUGGCAAUUUAUUCCAAGGCCGCUAACAGCUGCCACGUUAUUCAUGUGAAAUAUGAUGAGCAUUUUGCAAAGGCGAUGUUUGAAAAGUUAACGAAGAUGUACUUUGACCACAUGUUCCCAAUUUUGAUUAACAAGCGUUUCAACUGGUAGACAGAUGUGGACUUAUGGACAGAUUUGACUUAUCCUUUGUUUGAGUAGACAGAUGUGGACUUAUUGACAGAUUUGACUUAACUUUUGUUUGAGUAAACCAAUAUUUCUUUUUCCCUACUGAUAAAUCACCAUUUGUAAGAUAUGAAGCAGACCUCCAAAUUUUCCUGCCUGUUGCUUGUUCUUCUGUAAUUUUACAAUAUUCUAUUAUUUGGUAAUAUCAAAACUGUGUAAUAUUAGCAAUUUUUUUUUGUGAAAGGUCAGUUUUAUUGUAAUUAUAUGAAUUUUUAUUACAAGUUACACUGAUCAAUGCAUGUUUUUGCUAUUACUUUUUCCUCUGUGGGUAACUAAUUUUAUGUUUCAUAGUAAUAUAACUUUUGUAUUUAAUAGUUUUCUUGAUUUAAUGAUUAUUUGUAAAAUCUAUUUUAUUGCUAUUUUUUUAAAAUUAAAAUAUUGAC